RNAcentral lists this ribosomal RNA (465 nucleotides) under Vreelandella stevensii. Its description in RNAcentral is "partial 16S ribosomal RNA". It matches the Rfam family "Bacterial small subunit ribosomal RNA", at positions 338 to 795 of the family's 1533-position model. Lineage: Bacteria; Pseudomonadati; Pseudomonadota; Gammaproteobacteria; Oceanospirillales; Halomonadaceae. The record is from RNAcentral.
CCUACGGGAGGCUGCAGUGGGGAAUAUUGGACAAUGGGCGAAAGCCUGAUCCAGCCAUGCCGCGUGUGUGAAGAAGGCCUUCGGGUUGUAAAGCACUUUCAGUGGGGAAGAAAGCCUUGGGGCUAAUACCCUCGAGGAAGGACAUCACCCACAGAAGAAGCACCGGCUAACUCCGUGCCAGCAGCCGCGGUAAUACGGAGGGUGCGAGCGUUAAUCGGAAUUACUGGGCGUAAAGCGCGCGUAGGCGGUCUGAUAAGCCGGUUGUGAAAGCCCCGGGCUCAACCUGGGAACGGCAUCCGGAACUGUCAGGCUAGAGUGCGGGAGAGGAAGGUAGAAUUCCCGGUGUAGCGGUGAAAUGCGUAGAGAUCGGGAGGAAUACCAGUGGCGAAGGCGGCCUUCUGGACUGACACUGACGCUGAGGUGCGAAAGCGUGGGUAGCAAACAGGAUUAGAUACCCUAGUAGUC